AACGUAGGUGGCGAGCGUUAUCCGGAAUUACUGGGCGUAAAGCGUGUGCAGGCGGGCGGAUAAGUGGUGUAUGAAAUAUCCCGGCUCAACCGGGAAGGGUUAUGCCAGACUGUCCGUCUUGAGUGCGAGAGAGGAGCGUGGAAUUCCGGGUGUAGUGGUGAAAUGCGUAGAGAUGUGGAGGAACACCGAUGGCGAAGGCAGCCUUCUGGGCCAAUACUGACGCUCAUGCACGAAAGCGUGGGGAGCAAACAGG
This 253-nucleotide ribosomal RNA is filed under the name uncultured bacterium. Its description in RNAcentral is "partial 16S ribosomal RNA". It matches the Rfam family "Bacterial small subunit ribosomal RNA", at positions 524 to 776 of the family's 1533-position model. The record is from RNAcentral.